This 229-nucleotide ribosomal RNA is filed under the name uncultured Glomeromycotina. Its description in RNAcentral is "partial 25S ribosomal RNA". The record is from RNAcentral. Lineage: Eukaryota; Fungi; Glomeromycota.
UUCUGUGGGUUUAGGAGAGUUUAAUAACCUUCGGUUUGCGGAAUCGUAUCUUUUCGAUGUAUUUUUUCGUACGGUUGGUUAACAUCGAUUUUGAACAUUAUAAAAUGAUCGGAGGAAUGUGGCUUCGAUCUCGUAUCGAAGUGUUAUAACCUUUGGUAAAUGUAAUGAUCAAGUUCGAGGAUUGCAACGGAUACCCUUUCGGGCUAUUCGUCUGAUCUCUGACACGUUG